CCUACGGGAGGCUGCAGUGGGGGAUAUUGCACAAUGGGGGGAACCCUGAUGCAGCGACGCCGCGUGGGUGAAGGAGUAUUUCGGUAUGUAAAGCCCUAUCGGCAGGGAAGAAAUUGGACGGUACCUGACUAAGAAGCCCCGGCUAACUACGUGCCAGCAGCCGCGGUAAUACGUAGGGGGCAAGCGUUAUCCGGAUUCACUGGGUGUAAAGGGAGCGUAGACGGCCAUGCAAGCCAGGGGGGAAAGCCCGGGGCCCAACCCCGGGACUGCGCUUGGAACUGCAUGGCUGGAGUGCGGGAGGGGGAGGCGGAAUUCCUGGUGUAGCGGUGAAAUGCGUAGAUAUCAGGAGGAACACCGGCGGCGAAGGCGGCCUGCUGGACCGCGACUGACGUUGAGGCUCGAAAGCGUGGGGAGCGAACAGGAUUAGAUACCCGGGUAGUC
This 441-nucleotide ribosomal RNA is filed under the name uncultured bacterium. Its description in RNAcentral is "partial 16S ribosomal RNA". It matches the Rfam family "Bacterial small subunit ribosomal RNA", at positions 338 to 795 of the family's 1533-position model. The record is from RNAcentral.